The sequence is a ribosomal RNA, 393 nucleotides long. It matches the Rfam family "Eukaryotic small subunit ribosomal RNA", at positions 583 to 974 of the family's 1831-position model.
UUCCAGCUCCAAUAGCGUAUAUUAAAGUUGUUGCAGUUAAAAAGCUCGUAGUUGGAUUUCUGGUGGGGCUGUCGGCCUGGCUCCGAAAGGGGUCGUGGUUAGUACACGCCUGGCCAUCCUCGGGGGAAGCUUUGCUGGCAUUAAGUUGUCGGCGGAGUGACGCUCGUCGUUUACUGUGAACAAAUUAGAGUGUUCAAAGCAGGCUUAGGCCGUUGAAUACAUUAGCAUGGAAUAAUGAGAUAGGACUUUGGUGGUCUAUUUUGUUGGUUUGCACGCCGAAGUAAUGAUUAAUAGGGGCGGUUGGGGGUAUUCGUAUUCAAUUGUCAGAGGUGAAAUUCUUGGAUUUAUGGAAGACGAACUACUGCGAAAGCAUUUACCAAGGAUGUUUUCAUU